GAUGAACGCUGGCGGCGUGCCUAAUACAUGCAAGUCGAGCGAACGGACGAGAAGCUUGCUUCUCUGAUGUUAGCGGCGGACGGGUGAGUAACACGUGGAUAACCUACCUAUAAGACUGGGAUAACUUCGGGAAACCGGAGCUAAUACCGGAUAAUAUUUUGAACCGCAUGGAUCAAAAGUGAAAGACGGUCUUGCUGUCACUUAUAGAUGGAUCCGCGCUGCAUUAGCUGGUUGGUAAGGUAACGGCUUACCAAGGCAACGAUGCGUAGCCGACCGGAGAGGGUGAUCGGCCACACUGGAACUGAGACACGGUCCAGACUCCUACGGGAGGCAGCAGUAGGGAAUCUUCCGCAAUGGGCGAAAGCCUGACGGAGCAACGCCGCGUGGGUGAUGAAGGUCUUCGGAUCGUAAAACUCUGUUAUUAGGGAAGAACAUAUGUGUAAGUAACUGUGCACAUCUUGACGGUACCUAAUCAGAAAGCCCCGGCUAACUACGUG
RNAcentral lists this ribosomal RNA (497 nucleotides) under uncultured bacterium. Its description in RNAcentral is "partial 16S ribosomal RNA". It matches the Rfam family "Bacterial small subunit ribosomal RNA", at positions 28 to 507 of the family's 1533-position model. The record is from RNAcentral.